AUUUGGCUUUUUCCUUCAUUCAUUCAGAAAGAAAGCUUCAGACUCGCGAACCCUUUCAUCUUCUUCGUGCGUCUCUCUCUGCUCAAGCGACCAGACCAGUCCACCACCACCACUCACCAAAAAGCUCGACCGAACCACUCACUCGUCACCCACCGGUCGUCGUUCUCCCCCUUUUCUCUGUCUCUUCUUGACGUCGAAUCUCUUACCCUUCUCUGCUCAACACGACUCGACUUGUAUUUUAAUCUCAGGUGAUGAAAGUUUGAUAUGAAUUGUUGAUACUGAGAAUUCUAUAAUUUUUCUAGGUUUUAGGUUUUUGGAAAAUUUUGAUUUGUUUCUUUAAUUGAUUGAUUGAGUUUGGGAAAUAUUGAUUUAUUUGUUGAGUUAGUUUAGUCUUAUCCUGGAAUGCUUGGUAUGAAUUUCUUUGAUAUGAAUUUGGGAAACUCCGCCAGCAUUGUCUUUGGGAAAGUUUGAUUGAAUUUGAGAUAUGAAUUUCCUUGUGUCAAACAGAGUUUGUUUAUUGUCCUUGUGUUUGCUCUGUCUUGUUUGUGUGGUUCUGUAACCAUAGGAAGUGAGAGUUCUAGUCCAAAUCAAGUUUUUCUGGAACUAUUUAGCAUAGUGAAAUGUCACAGACUUUUGUGUGAUUUUGAUAAAGCUUGAGUGACUAAUGAAUUUUGUUGGUAUUAAGUUGAACACAAAAGUAAUGUGAUUUGAAUUCUUGAUUGAUCAAAACUUAGAACUCAUUGUUUUCUUUCAGCGCAAAAAUCAGGGACUGUUUUCUUUGAACUUGAAGGUUAAAUGUAUUUUUUUUAUCAUGUUGCUGCCAUGCUAUUUUAAGAGUUUACAUUGUUAAUAUGUUCAACUUUGGAUUGCUUAUGAGUUCUCUUGAUGAUGUUUCUAUAAGAUUCUUAGUUUUGAUCAUUUAUUGAAACUCAUCUUACUUAUGUGCAUGUUAGAACUGAUUGGCAAUACUCUCACCUAUCACAUGAAUUAUGUAACUCUUAAUUUGCUAACUUUGAUUAGUGGGGGGGGGGGGGGGUACUGAACAUAGGUAUGGAACUCAACCUGCUAUUGAACCAUGGUUAAUUUUUAGUCGCAAUUCCUCUUCCAUUGGUUCUUAACCUUGUUCCAUGAUUGCAUUAUUUUCAAUAAUCACAUAAAUGUUAAGUAGGAAUUGGCCUAGAAGCUAAGUGGUUUAGUUUAUGACUGUUAUGAACUUAAUGUUGCUUCUUUAGGAACAAGAUCAGUGCUAUUUUUCUCAGGAUAAUAUCAUGAAAUCUGAAUUGUUGUCCCAUGAUUGUGUAAAUGUGGCUGUUUUGAAAAUUAAGAAAUGUCAAAUCCUUGUGCAUUCAUAUGUCAAUCUCUUCUGAAGUCCAUUAAGAAUAUAGACACAAAGUUCUUAAUCUUGCUCAUUCAUGAGAAUUCAUUUUCUUCUUGUGUUUGUAAUCUCUAAAUCUCAACAUGGUAAACUCUUGUGGACCUUUUUCUCUUAAUAUAGGACUGGUCUUGUUUGUUUAGAUUCAAGAUUCUUGGUUUGGAAUUACUCACUAAUUCAUGUGACUGUUCUGUUCCUUUGUUGUUUAUUUUGGACAUAACUUGUUAAAGCUAAAACUAGUACAUAUUCAUCACUUUAUGUCUUUCUAUUUCUCUAUGUUCGUCACUGAUAUGAUUAAGUUAGUCACAUAUUUAUAAUUCUUGAAUCUGUUAAAAUUGAGUAGUAUAGGUCAUAAUGUUAUGACUUAUUUUAGGGAAUGCUAGUCUCAAAACCUGUUACUUUGUGCUUCAAUAACAUGUUAGUUUUGAAAGUAUAUCAUCAUGAAACCUAUGCAUAAUGUUUUAAUCAUGUGAAUCUCAUUUGCUCUAGUGAAAAAUUGUUUCAGAUAUGGUAAUCAAGGAGGCAUUUGUUGCACCUACAUAUUAUCAUAUCACCACUUGAUGUUGUUACUUGUUAAUAUCAGUGGUCAUUGAGGUGUGUGUGUAAGGCUUCUAUCUGUAGAUAACUGUCUUCACAUAUUCAUUUGUAAAAAUUAAAUUUCAUAAUACAACUCUAUGGCACAAAUGCUAUUUAAAUGAAUAAGAAAUUAUGAUAAUUUAUUGGUAUUGAAAUGUAGCUCAUAUGCUCGGUUACCCCUUCAUCAAGUAGCAGUGAAAAGCACAUUGGAAUACAAGCUCAGCUCAAAACAAGAUGUUAUUUGAUAGCACAAACUUAUAAUUAUGUCAGUAACUUCACCGACGAUGGUCGCUCUCAUCAUUGUCAAGUCAAAAUGUGAUACUACAUGUGAGUAGCCUUCUUUCUUUGUUUACUACUUUUCCUUCUUGCUUUUUAUCUUCAAGUAUUCAUUUCAACUUCAAAUUUUAAUCCUUAUAUAUGUAUGUUAUGCUUUGAUGAUAAGGUUGAUAUGGAAACAUAUGAAGUUUAUACUCAAAUGACACCACCACUUAGUUUGAAAGGCUAAAACUAAAGUUUAGAUGCAAUGUUCUUGCUUGAGGUUUUGUUGCUAUUGCUGCUUGGUAGCUUCAGAAUUUUCUAAUUGUUUUGUGAUUAUUGUAAUAGUAAUAAUUUUAGGAAUUGUUUACCUCUAGUUUAUCUAGUGUUGCUUAUGUUGCAGAACUUGUAGCAAAUUUGUGAUCUCUAUAGAGGAAAUGUUGCAGAAACACUUUACAAGUGUGUGUGGUUUCAGGGAUCUCUGUUGAGGGGCUGGUGCUAUUUGGUUUUUGGCUUCUGUUUGCAGGUCUCGGUUUGCUUAGCUUUGGUUAGACUGUGUUUUUGGGUAGUCAUAUUUUUAGUUUUGCAGGCCUCAGUUUGUUUAGCUUUGGUUAGACAUAGUGUUUUUCGGUAGUCGCAUUUUUAGUUUUGCAGGCCUCAGUUUGUUUAGCUUUGGUUAGGCUAGUGUUUUGGCAGUAACAUUCUUUAGUUUUACUAAGACAUGUUUAAUUCCACGAUACUUUUGGUAACCUUGUUUCGUUAAUAUUUUGUAAUUGAAUUUAUUUAUAAUUUGCUAUGAAAUUUUGUAUUAAUGGU
Molecule: long non-coding RNA, 3019 nt
Organism: Trifolium pratense (red clover)
Lineage: Eukaryota; Viridiplantae; Streptophyta; Magnoliopsida; Fabales; Fabaceae
Exons: 3
Source: RefSeq, a predicted model, not a curated record